This 1997-nucleotide long non-coding RNA is filed under the name Astyanax mexicanus (Mexican tetra). Its description in RNAcentral is "lncRNA (ENSAMXG00005000456.1)". The record is from RNAcentral. Lineage: Eukaryota; Metazoa; Chordata; Actinopteri; Characiformes; Acestrorhamphidae.
CGGAGAUACAGAGAGAGAGAGAGAGAGAGAGAUACAGAGAUGCAGAGAGAGAGAGAGCCAGGGGCGGCCUUGACUGUGAAUACAAAAAUGUCACGGACAUGCCCAUGCACGCCUGGAGCCACAGCGGGCCGGACGGAAAGAACGGCGGCUGGAAAAUGUAAACAGGAAGAACAUGCAGAGAGAGAGAGAGAGAGAGAGAGAGAGAAAAGAGUCCCAAUCGCCCGAGUAGCCGCCAGCUGCGGCAGCCAGAAAAACACGCCAUACCAGGUAAUGGUGCCGGGAGCAGUGGUGGCAGAGGAGCCAGGGCAGUGGAGUGGCCGGAGACAGGAGACACACAGGCGGAGGACCAACGCGGAUCGGGUCAGGAGCGAGAGCCGGGUCAGGAGCAGGAGCCAGGGUGGUUUCUAAUUAUCAGAAGUGUUUGGACGGUUGUAGAUGUGCUGCAGAGGAACCGCGUGCUGCAGAGAAAUGUGGUUGGUGUGGUCGGUCACAUUGUGGUGCUGAAACUCACCCAGCCGAGCUCAAAGACAAAAUGACUUCUGAUGCUGUAGGAACCGGUUUACGGGCCUGUGGAUGGGCCUCAGUGUGGAUGCUGCUCCUCCAGUUCGGUUCUGAUCCAGGUGCUGCAGAGACACUGGUGCGCCAGGUUGGAGCCACAGUUCACCUGAACGUAAACAUAUCUGUGGCACAAUCAGAUCAUGUGCGCUGGAAAUUACAGACAGACAAUGUUCUCAUUCUACUGAAAAAUACUGCCCAGGAUUACAUUAUUGAAAAUGGAAGCCUGCAGAUCCGUGAGGGGAACAAGAAACACUCUGGAUUAUACUUUUUGGAGAUUUUUAACAGUAGUGGAAGCUGUUUAUUAAAGAAAGAUUUUAAGAUCAUCUUUCUAGAACCAGUUUCUAAUAUCAAGGUUCUGCCUACUUGCCCUGAGGGAAAGAACACCACUGUAACCUGCACUGUCGACAGCGGAGAUGAUGUGCACUUCCUGUGGAAGUGGACUUUUAACGGGUCUGAGAAGAGCGAGGCACCGCAGGCAGAACCAGAUAAUCACACAGUUCGCAUCCUGUUUGAGGACGGUGUCCCUGACAGGCUUGUCUGUGAGGCACGGAACGCUUUGAAUGACAUAAGAGCAGAAGUUCAAUGCAGAGGGUACAUGUGGACGCUGGUGGCUGGCGCUGGGUUCCUGCUGGUCUGUCUGUUGGUGGGGGUUCUGGCCGUGAGGAGAAAGAGGAGCGCAGUCAGUAAAUCAGGAACAGAUGAUGUUUACCUCGACAUGACGGGACGACUUCAAGCCAAACCCCAACCUCAACAUCCGGCAGCCCCCCCUCCCGACACCUACGAGCAGCUCAGGCCUCUCCAGAAUAAACCACCUCCAUCAUCAUUAUCACCAUCUUUAUCACCAGAAUCACCAGAAUCACAAUCUCCAUCACCACCAUCACCACCCCCAUCAUCAUCAAAACCUGUAAGAUUGAAUAUACAGGAUAUAUAUGUGUUAUAAUAUGUUAUGUGUGUGUGUGUGUGUACGAGGGAGAUAAAGGGGAAGAGAUUUUGUUUAUUGUAUUCUGUUACUGUAAAUAUUUUUGUUUCUUUAUCAAAUCUGGGUCUGAACUGUUUAACCCUUGUAUUAUUUAAUCCAAAAGCUUUUUAAAUUAAUUUACACAUUAACUUAAUUUAAUAUCAACUGAUGUUUUUAUUAAAUGGUCAAUUAAAGGAUUAAACUAUUACACACACUAUUCAGUGCAGUAUGAAGCAGGAUUAUUAUCUCUUAUAAAUUGUUGCUCCUCCAUAAAACCUUGUAUGUCUAUUUUUACUGUUUUUCACUUUUUUUCAUAAUGUGAGUCUGGCAGUUGAUGAGAGAACCAAUUGAAAUGCUCAACAAUGAUUAUAUAUAUUAUGUAUAUUUAAAAAAUCAUAUUCGUAUUACUUGUAUUCGGUUGUAUUUAUUUUAUGAUCAUGUAAAUUAUUUCAAUAAAACCUGUUCAUAAAUAAAUGUAACA